CCAGGCUUGCGCCGCCCAUGCCGUGCGCGCCGCCCAGGCCAGCCGCGGCCAGGCAGGCGCCGCCCAGGCCCGCGGCGGCCAGGCAGGCGCCGCCCAGGCCGGGCGCGCCGCCCAGGCCCGCGGCGGCCAGGCUCCCGCCGCCGGGCGCGGCGCCCAGGGUCCCGCCGCCGGGCGCGCCGCCCAGGCCCGCGGCGCCCAGGCCCGCGCCGCCGGGCGCGCCGCCCAGGGCCGCGGCGGCCACGCUCUCGCCGCCGGGCGCGCCAGUGACGGGGCCGGGACGGGAAAGUCCAACCCUAGGGGCCGGAUUGGAAGAUGAAGGGGGCGGAGGAGGUGGAGGAGGACCUGAUCUCCUCAUUCCCGGCGGCGGUCCGGCCACCGACGGACACGAGGCGGCGGCCGGCGCUGGAUGCGGCGGGGGAGGAGAAGGAAAAGUGUAGGAUGAAAAAACAGAGGGGCGGCGCGCGGAGGAAAUAAACAGAGGUCGAACCGGUACGAGAUGUGUGUAAUCGAUGGCAUUGGUGGGUAAUUUCCACCAACUCCAUGAGGGGUUACAAAACCAGCGUUUUGAGAGCACCCCCUUGGGUGCUCCGUGGAAUUGGUGGAUCUGGGAGCUGGAUCCAAUUUUUUUGCGGAUCUGG
This 638-nucleotide long non-coding RNA is filed under the name Setaria viridis. RNAcentral describes it as "long non-coding RNA (SVIR_LNC005883)". Lineage: Eukaryota; Viridiplantae; Streptophyta; Magnoliopsida; Poales; Poaceae. The record is from RNAcentral.